Molecule: ribosomal RNA, 253 nt
Filed under: uncultured bacterium
Lineage: Bacteria
Description: partial 16S ribosomal RNA
Rfam family: Bacterial small subunit ribosomal RNA
Source: RNAcentral
UACGUAGGGUGCAAGCGUUGUCCGGAAUCAUUGGGCGUAAAGCGCGCGUAGGCGGCCUUGUAAGUCCGUUGUGAAAGUCAAAGGCUCAACCUUUGAAAGCCGAUGGAUACUGCAAGGCUGGAGUCCGGAAGAGGCGAGUGGAAUUCCUGGUGUAGCGGUGGAAUGCGCAGAUAUCAGGAGGAACACCAAUAGCGAAGGCAGCUCGCUGGGACGGUACUGACGCUAAGGCACGAAAGCGUGGGGAGCGAACAGG